RNAcentral lists this ribosomal RNA (397 nucleotides) under uncultured bacterium. Its description in RNAcentral is "partial 16S ribosomal RNA". It matches the Rfam family "Bacterial small subunit ribosomal RNA", at positions 523 to 918 of the family's 1533-position model. The record is from RNAcentral.
AUACGUAGGUGACAAGCGUUAUCCGGAUUUACUGGGCGUAAAGGGCGUGUAGGCGGUCUUGCAAGUCAGAAGUGAAAUUCCUGAGCUCAACUCGGGCGCUGCUUCUGAAACUGCAGGCCUUGAGUGCUGGAGGGGAUAGCGGAAUUCCUAGUGGAGCGGAAAAAGGCGCAGAUAUUAGGAAGAAAACCGGUGGCGAAGGCGGCUAUCUGGACAGUAACUGACGCUGAGGCGCGAAAGCGUGGGGAGCAAACAGGAUUAGAUUCCCUGGUAGUCCACGCCGUAAACGAUGAAUACUAGGUGUAGGGGGUAUCGACUCCCUCUGUGCCGCAGUUAACACAAUAAGUAUUCCGCCUGGGGAGUACGGCCGCAAGGUUGAAACUCAAAUGAAUUGACGGGG